CCCUUAGAUGUUCUGGGCCGCACGCGCGCUACACUGACGAAUGCAACGAGCUUAUAACCUUGGCCGAAAGAUUUGGGUAACCCGCGAAUCUCCUUCGUGCUAGGGAUUGAGGUUUGCAAUUAUCCUUCAUGAACGAGGAAUUCCCAGUAAGUGCAAGUCAUAAGCUUGCGCUGACUACGUCCCUGCCCUUUGUACACACCGCCCGUCGCUACUACCGAUUGAAUGAUUUAGUGAGGACUUCGGACUGGGACCGAUGCGGCUUUCGGGCUGCGUCGGUAUUCUGGAAAGAUGUCCAAACUGUAUCAUUUAGAGGAAGUAAAAGUCGUAACA
This 330-nucleotide ribosomal RNA is filed under the name uncultured eukaryote. Its description in RNAcentral is "partial 18S ribosomal RNA". It matches the Rfam family "Eukaryotic small subunit ribosomal RNA", at positions 1470 to 1796 of the family's 1831-position model. The record is from RNAcentral.